RNAcentral lists this non-coding RNA (1338 nucleotides) under Schistosoma mansoni. RNAcentral's name for it is "Eukaryotic small subunit ribosomal RNA". It matches the Rfam family "Eukaryotic small subunit ribosomal RNA", at positions 654 to 1831 of the family's 1831-position model. Lineage: Eukaryota; Metazoa; Platyhelminthes; Trematoda; Strigeidida; Schistosomatidae. The record is from Rfam by way of RNAcentral.
GAAGUGAUUCAUGCGGUCAUAUGCCGUUGCUAAUUCCCGGUUUUGGUUACGAUCGGGACCAGUGUUCAGCUCGGAGUAGUGGCUGUGCAGCCUUUCAGCCGUGUCUGUGUUAAAUGGGUGCUGGUGGGUUGACGAGUUCGUCUUGCUGACCUGUUGGCAUGCUUCCGAAUGCCUUUAAACGGGUGUCGGGAGCGGACGGCAUCUUCACUUUGAACAAAUUUGAGUGCUCAAAGCAGGCCUGUGUGUCUGAAAAGUCUUGCAUGGAAUAAUGAAAUAGAACUUCGGUUCCAUUUUGUCGAUUUUCGGAUUCGAAGUAAUGGUUAAGAGAGACAGACCGGGGUAUUUUAUGGUGGUGUUAGAGGUAAAAUUCUAGGAUAGCCGCCAGACAAACUACAGCGAAAGCAUUUGCCAAGAAUGUUUUCAUUGAUCAGGAGCGAAAGUCAGAGUUUCGAAGACGAUCAGAAACCAUCGUAGUUCUGACCAUAAACAAUGCCAACUGACGAUCCGUGUUGGUUUUAUAAUUGACAUCGCGGGAAGUCCCCGGAAAACCUCCAAAUCUUUGGGCUCCGGGGUGAGUAUGGUUGCAAAGCUGAAACUUAAAGGGAUUAGCGGAAGGGCACCACCAGGAGUGGAGCCUGAGGUUUAGGUCUACUCAACACGGGAAAACUCACCCGACCCAUACACUGUGAGGAUUGACAGAUUGAUAGCUGUUUGUUGAUUUGGUGAGUGGUGGUGCAUGGCCGUUCUUAGUUAGUGGAACGAUUUGUAUGGUUGAUUUUGAUAACGAAAGAGACUUUAACCUGCUAAAUAGUAUACUGGUCCUCUGUGCUCGUUUAGGGCGUGGCUUCUGUUGCUUCUUUAUGGAGUAGUGUGGUCGUGAUUUAGCGGGUUCUGUGUCAGCUCUUACUUCUUAGAGUGACAAGCGACACACUUCAGUCGCACGAAAUUGAGCAAUAACAGGUCUGUGAUGCCCUUAGAUAUCCAGAGCCACACAUGCGCUACAAUGACGGGGCCAGUGAGUUUGGAAACAUGGCCCGAAAGGGUUGGGCAAAUUGUUUCAUCACUGUCGUGACUGGUAUCGGGGCUUGUAAUUAUUCCCCGCGAAUGAGGAAUUCCUGAUAAGUGCAAGUCAUAAGCUUGCGCUGAUUACGUCCCUGCCCUUUUUACACACCGCCUGUCGCUACUACCGAUUGAAUGGUUUAGUGAGGUCGUUGGAUUGGCGUCGUUGUAGUGGUUUUGCCGCUCGACUAAUGCUGAGGAGAUGACCUGAUUUGACUUUUUAGAGGAAGUAAAAGUCGUAACAAGGUUUCCGUAGGUGAACCUGAGGAAGGAUCAUUA